RNAcentral lists this ribosomal RNA (265 nucleotides) under uncultured prokaryote. RNAcentral's name for it is "partial 16S ribosomal RNA". It matches the Rfam family "Bacterial small subunit ribosomal RNA", at positions 526 to 792 of the family's 1533-position model. The record is from RNAcentral.
CGUAGGGGCGAGCGUUGUCCGGAAUUAUUGGGCGUAAAGGGUUCGUAGGCGGUAAUACAUGUCAGAUGUGAAAUCUUGUGGCUUAACCACAUCAAGCAUCUGAAACUGUAUAACUUGAGUGGAGGAGAGGUAAGUGGAAUUCCUAGUGUAGCGGUGAAAUGCGUAGAUAUUAGGAAGAAUACCAGUAGCGAAGGCGACUUACUGGCCUCUAACUGACGCUGAUGAACGAAAGCGUGGGUAGCAAACAGGAUUAGAUACCCUGGUA